This 253-nucleotide ribosomal RNA is filed under the name uncultured bacterium. RNAcentral describes it as "partial 16S ribosomal RNA". It matches the Rfam family "Bacterial small subunit ribosomal RNA", at positions 524 to 776 of the family's 1533-position model. The record is from RNAcentral.
UACGUAGGGUGCAAGCGUUAAUCGGAAUUACUGGGCGUAAAGCGUGCGCAGGCGGUUAUGCGAGACAGAUGUGAAAUCCCCGGGCUUAACCUGGGAACUGCAUUUGUGACUGCAUGGCUAGAGUACGGUAGAGGGGGAUGGAAUUCCGCGUGUAGCAGUGAAAUGCGUAGAUAUGCGGAGGAACACCGAUGGCGAAGGCAAUCCCCUGGACCUGUACUGACGCUCAUGCACGAAAGCGUGGGGAGCAAACAGG